GCCGGUACUCGCGAAUGCCUCUAGAUUNAAGUUUGAUCCUGGCUCAGGGNCUGAACGCUGGCGGCGAUGCCUAAUACAUGCAAGUCGAGCGAAUGGAUUAAGAGCUUGCUCUUAUGAAGUUAGCGGCGGACGGGUGAGUAACACGUGGGUAACCUGCCCAUAAGACUGGGAUAACUCCGGGAAACCGGGGCUAAUACCGGAUAACAUUUUGCACUGCAUGGUGCGAAAUUGAAAGGCGGCUUCGGCUGUCACUUAUGGAUGGACCCGCGUCGCAUUAGCUAGUUGGUGAGGUAACGGCUCACCAAGGCAACGAUGCGUAGCCGACCUGAGAGGGUGAUCGGCCACACUGGGACUGAGACACGGCCCAGACUCCUACGGGAGGCAGCAGUAGGGAAUCUUCCGCAAUGGACGAAAGUCUGACGGAGCAACGCCGCGUGAGUGAUGAAGGCUUUCGGGUCGUAAAACUCUGUNUGUUAGGGAAGAACAAGUGCUAGUUGAAUAAGCUGGCACCUUGACGGUACCUAACCAGAAAGCCACGGCUAACUACGUGCCAGCAGCCGCGGU
RNAcentral lists this ribosomal RNA (564 nucleotides) under uncultured bacterium. RNAcentral's name for it is "bacterial SSU rRNA". It matches the Rfam family "Bacterial small subunit ribosomal RNA", at positions 1 to 521 of the family's 1533-position model. The record is from RNAcentral.